Molecule: long non-coding RNA, 1118 nt
Filed under: Mytilus galloprovincialis (Mediterranean mussel)
Lineage: Eukaryota; Metazoa; Mollusca; Bivalvia; Mytilida; Mytilidae
Source: RNAcentral
CACGCAUUUUGUGGUUUGGUAUCAUUCCGGGUCAAACUAUUUGGUGUAUAAAUAAGAGUAUUUUGUAAGGCAUAUACAUAUUUACGGCAACUUAUAUUUAACUACUACCAAAACACUAGGAAAACUAAACAAUGGUGGCUAUCUCUGACGAGUUUGUGAAGAUGAUGGUUUCUGUGUUUGUGAUGUUGAUUGUUAUUUGUUCUACUGGUUAUUACGAACGAGAGGACGGGGGCGAAGGAUAUGAACGAUACGACAAAUGUAAGUCUAUACUAGGCACAUUUAGCUUAAUAACAAAUGUAUCUAACAUAUUUUCUUUAUAUUAACUGUAAUCCCAAUUGUGCAAAAUUCGUGAACUGUGACCUGUUAUUAUUCAUACCUGUUUGCGAUGCUGGUAUUGGUACGGUUGUCAAUCACAAAUGAUCUCUUUUUUCCCUCUUUAUUUUCUUUGAUAUAUAAUUUGUAAUUCGAAUUAGAACAUGCCAUUUUGAGGCAGUGGCAGGUUCUAUGUAGUAUAAGGUUGACACGAAACAUGUGUGUUAGCGAUAAUAAAAAAUGAUAGUUCAAGUUCUUUAUGUUGAUUUCAAGUUAAUCAAGUUCCGUUACAGAAUAUAUAGUGCUAUUAUUAUUUUUGGAAAUGGAAAUCUUGAAAAUUAUAUAAAUAAGAAAAAAAAGAAUUGCAAUAUAAUGGAUAUUGUAUUCGUGUACAGCAGAUUUUCAUCUGUGUUUUUAUUGCACCUUUCGUACCGAUAGCUUUUUAUAGGAUGUCCCGUAGAGUUCUUAGCUAAAUCCUGUGGCGAACCUGAUAAAUGUAACAGCAUAAAUUGGAGCCUUGUGCAAUACGGUUUGUAUUUAGAACACUCGAUAUACCGAAUUUGAAAAUUACAUUACAUGCUCUAUUUGUAUUUUUUAAAUGAAUAAGUUGGUGACCUUUAUCAUAUACAUACGAUGAAAUGGUAAGACAAAGACAUUUGACAUUUUAUUAAUUUUAUUUUUCAGAAGCUUUACCUAAAACCAAAUUACAACGAAUGGUGUUUUCUGUAAAAGGAUGAUCAAAAGAAAUCUGUUUAUCAUUAACAAUUCCAUCGGUGAUAUAUUUAUAUGUAAAAUAAAAAAUGUAG